This 469-nucleotide ribosomal RNA is filed under the name uncultured Piscirickettsiaceae bacterium. RNAcentral's name for it is "bacterial SSU rRNA". It matches the Rfam family "Bacterial small subunit ribosomal RNA", at positions 336 to 797 of the family's 1533-position model. Lineage: Bacteria; Pseudomonadati; Pseudomonadota; Gammaproteobacteria; Thiotrichales; Piscirickettsiaceae. The record is from RNAcentral.
UUCCUACGGGUGGCUGCAGUGGGGAAUAUUGGACAAUGGGGGAAACCCUGAUCCAGCAAUGCCGCGUGUGUGAAGAAGGCCUGCGGGUUGUAAAGCACUUUUGGCAGGGAUGAAAAGCACUGGCCUAACAAUCCAGUGUGUUGACCUAACCUGCAGAAGAAGCACCGGCUAACUCUGUGCCAGCAGCCGCGGUAAUACAGAGGGUGCAAGCGUUAAUCGGAAUUACUGGGCGUAAAGCGCGCGUAGGCCGUUGGGUAAGUCGGAUGUGAAAUCCCCGGGCUUAACCUGGGAAUUGCAUUCGAUACUGCCUGACUAGAGUGUGGAAGAGGGAAGCGGAAUUUCCGGUGUAGCGGUGAAAUGCGUAGAUAUCGGAAGGAACACCAGUGGCGAAGGCGGCUUCCUGGUCCAACACUGACGCUGAGGCGCGAAAGCGUGGGGAGCGAACAGGAUUAGAUACCCUUGUAGUCCA